GUGUCAGCAGCCGCGGUAAUACGGAGGGUGCGAGCGUUGUCCGGAAUCACUGGGCGUAAAGGGCGCGUAGGCGGCCUGACAAGCGUGUGGUGAAAGCUCGGGGCUCAACCCCGAGUCGGCCGUGCGAACUGUUGGGCUGGAGUGCUGUAGAGGCGGGCGGAAUUCCGGGUGUAGCGGUGGAAUGCGUAGAGAUCCGGAAGAACACCGGUGGCGAAGGCGGCCCGCUGGGCAGUGACUGACGCUGAGGCGCGACAGCGUGGGGAGCAAACAGGAUUAGAUACCCGCGUAGUCC
This 292-nucleotide ribosomal RNA is filed under the name uncultured bacterium. RNAcentral's name for it is "partial 16S ribosomal RNA". It matches the Rfam family "Bacterial small subunit ribosomal RNA", at positions 505 to 796 of the family's 1533-position model. The record is from RNAcentral.